CCAUGGGCAGGUUGAAGGUUGGGUAACACUAACUGGAGGACCGAACCGACUAAUGUUGAAAAAUUAGCGGAUGACUUGUGGCUGGGGGUGAAAGGCCAAUCAAACCGGGAGAUAGCUGGUUCUCCCCGAAAGCUAUUUAGGUAGCGCCUCGUGAAUUCAUCUCCGGGGGUAGAGCACUGUUUCGGCAAGGGGGUCAUCCCGACUUACCAACCCGAUGCAAACUGCGAAUACCGGAGAAUGUUAUCACGGGAGACACACGGCGGGUGCUAACGUCCGUCGUGAAGAGGGAAACAACCCAGACCGCCAGCUAAGGUCCCAAAGUCAUGGUUAAGUGGGAAACGAUGUGGGAAGGCCCAGACAGCCAGGAUGUUGGCUUAGAAGCAGCCAUCAUUUAAAGAAAGCGUAAUAGCUCACUGGUCGAGUCGGCCUGCGCGGAAGAUGUAACGGGGCUAAACCAUG
Molecule: ribosomal RNA, 459 nt
Filed under: Escherichia coli
Lineage: Bacteria; Pseudomonadati; Pseudomonadota; Gammaproteobacteria; Enterobacterales; Enterobacteriaceae
Description: partial 23S ribosomal RNA
Rfam family: Bacterial large subunit ribosomal RNA
Source: RNAcentral